This is a long non-coding RNA of Haemorhous mexicanus (house finch), 7876 nucleotides long. RefSeq lists it as uncharacterized. The record is from RefSeq and is a predicted model, not a curated record. NCBI's taxonomy places the organism in Eukaryota, Metazoa, Chordata, Aves, Passeriformes, Fringillidae. The transcript has 7 exons.
UCUCCCAAAUAUAUUUGUGUAGCUCAAGGUAUUGACACCUAUCCAGUCAAUUCCUCUACAGUAGUGGGAAGCAUGCUCACAACACGGUGGGAGACAGAGGGCACGUAUUUGUUGCAUAGGCUCAGGUGGGUGGUCUGAAAAUUAAAGUUUAAAGCUCUCCUGUGGAUCUGGUAACCUCUUGCAUGGGAGCAGAAGCACUCUGAGCUGUCAUGGCUGGGUGUGCAAAGGCUCUUCUACUAGUUGGGAGCCUCUGAUAUUUUAUUGUCUGCCUAGGAGGUGUGACUGGUUGUUCAUCUUCAUCAGUUUUGCACCUCAAAUGGUGUGAAGAAGGUGGAAAUCAGGAGUAAGCAGGUCCCUCAGAACUGUGAUGUCCUGGGAAGAGGAGAUGGCAGAAGAACGCUGUGGAAGAGAUGGCAGAAGAAAGCUGUUAGGUUGUAGUGAGGCAAUGUUCCUUUGACGUCUUGUGCACUGGCAAAGGUCUUUUCCUGGGGAAGAAGGAGUUGCUUGUGGUGUGAAUAUGAUCCUGUGAAGGUAAGGGCACUUAUUCUUUAUUAGUUUUUUUAUUCCUAGGUUUAUUCUUGGCCAAACCUGAAGCUUCUUGAGUUGUCUUUAAGACAGCACUAAUCUUCUGGCAACUGCAGAGUCAGGGAAUUAAUUGCAGGAGAAGCACAAAUGCGCAUUUCCUUGUUUGCUGGGCCAGGCAUCCCUCGGUCCCACAGAUCCCGCCCGUUUCUCCAAGCGCGCACGCGGCGUGCUCCAGCAAAGCCCACUGCUGCCCUUGGAGGGCGUUUCCUCGUUGUUUGUACUGCCCCUCGCGCCUUUCCUUUUCUCUCUGAUACAUCGCACAUUGCCAGCUGGUAUUUGUAACAUGUUCCGUAGAAUUCUAAAAUGAAACUUCUUUGGAGGAGGUCAGCACGCUGUGCGGGACACAUCCUGUGUGUGGGCUGCAUCUGACAGAUUCCUGUCGCUGUUAUCCAACAGGCCUGUCAGAAACGACAGCACCUGCCCGUGGACUGCCCUAACACAGCAAUACCAGCCAAAGCAAGAAGUGUUAAUAGUAUUGUUUGCCCCUGUGGGCUCGUAUUUGUAGUCUCUCCGCAGUAGGAGAGAGGCAGUGUAAAUAUCUGGAUGGAUAGUUACUUGUUUUGGAAUAAUGAUACCCGGCACCAUUCAGUUCUGAGCAGUCAAUGUACAAUUAUUGCAGUAGGAAACAGCACAGAAGGUUGCUUAAGAGUUUUUCAGUUAUCUGUGACUUUGCUACCCACAGACAGGUAAAGAGGUAACUUACCUAAAAGUUUUGUCAUUCUGGAAAUAGUGCCAAAGAUCAGAUCUUCCUGAUCCAUUGCUGGGAAGAUCUGUUCUCACACUUAUGCCUACAUGCUAGAGAUUUUUCUGUUACAUUUCUUUUUUGUGAUGGAUGAAAUCACUUUUUUAUAUGAUUAUGUAAGGUCGUUUGACUCCUGCCUGUGUUGAAGCAGUUAGUGCAUUUGACAUGUUAUUAGCACUCUACAGCAGUGCCCAAUAGGGGUUCUCAAAACAGCCUUUGCUUCACCCUCUCUCUUAGCUUAUCUGCAUUCCAAGCCACUUAAUUUUCCAUGUGGUCCACUGUUAGCCUCCCAUUACAAAUUAUCUGAUCUCAACUCACAGCCUAAUUUUUCUUACUAUAUUCAGUGGAACUACUGACCACUGAGUUUAGCAGAUCCAGGUUGCUGUUAUACCUGUGAGAAUUUACUGGUUCCAUUAUUUCUGCUUAUUUUGUAAGUUUUGCAAGGCUUUUUGGUUCCCUGCUGCCUUGAUUUCAAAUACGUGACCUUGAAAUCAGUUGAUUUGAACAUGUCUUUCGUUUUCAUUUGCAGUCCCUAGAGGAUUGUACUUGCAGAAUUACCUAACUGUGCUGAAUUAAGAGCCAGAGCCCAGUUGAAAUUCCCAGACCAAAGGAUAUGAUAGUCUCUAGUAACCUUGGUGCUUUUCUUAUGCUUUUUUCUAAACAAUGCCUUUUUGCCUUGUAUAUGAUCAGUGAUUUUGAAAAAAAGUAGUUCCUUAGUUGCCUAUUACAAUUUAAGAAAAUAGUUGUCCUCUUCCUGCUUAUGUGCACACUUUUUCCUUCCUUUGGUGUUGAUAAAUUGAUCAUCUCUUUCCAUUAUGUUAUGGGAAAACAUUGAAUAGACAUAAUUUUAUAGACAAAGUAAGGGAAAAUCUAACAACUUGGUAUGUGUAAGUAUGGCAAAAUUGGCAAAUACGAAGUGCAGGCCAACAGCUAAGGAGAAGAAGGGAAGAGUUACAGACACUAAAUAAAGACAGGAUGAGGCAAGAGGAAGGACAGGGGAUACUUGGCAAGAGAGCCCCAAUGAUUUGGGUCAGCUUUACUCCCAUUGAAUUUGAGUGUUAUCCCAAAUAUAUUGAGAUAGGACAUCCAAAGCCUUCCCAGAGGGGGAGAUCUUAGCCCAGAGAGCAUCAUGGGAUAGGGCUCAGAGCACGGAGGAGAAAAGGAGACAUGCAAGGACAAAAGGAGUGAGAAAAGCAGAGUGAGUGAGUAGGGAGGAAGAAAAGCAGAGGAGUCUGGAGCAGCCUGAGAUAGGACGUUGUAAAGCCAAAUUGGGAUCUGUGGAUGCCAUGGGACAGAGAGAGAGAAACAGCAAGCGUUUCUCACAGUAGCUUGUGAGAAGUUUUAGGGAGCUGGGAAGAUGUGAUAACUUGUUGCCUAUAAACAAGUAGCAGGUGGUGUUUUUUUACUUUAUUUUUCUGUUCCUCUCAAGGACAGUGCGUGAGAAAGAUGUUUCUGUUAGUUAGCCAAUAGAAUAGAAUCUAUCGUACCACUCUAUAAAAACCGCGCGGUUCUUUUGAAUAAAGCCUUCUUUGCCUUUGCUAUGGUCCUGCCUCUUGCCUGUUCCUGCCCCGACCUCGGCCCAAGAGUGACAGGGAUCUUGAGCACACAACUUGAAUUUGACCUGAAAGUAGAGAGGAUGACAGCAUUUCUGCCCUGUGUUAGGUCUGCAUUCAGAAUUUCAAGCUUUGUUUUGCCUCUGGAGUCCUCAGUCUUGCUCAGUCCCAUUAGAGCGGGGGUGGGCAAGUCGGGUUUUAGUGACAGUGAGUUUCCAUCCUUGGGCACCUGCACCAGUCAUGCCUGGUAAAUGUUACUGGGGGGAACUAACAGCAGCUUUUUGGAGAGCAGCACUGAUACCACAGUCAUGUUUUCCCCAGCUAAGCACAGGGGCUGUGUGGAGAGCUGUGUUUGAUGGCACCUGGGGCAGCAGAAGGGCACAGAGGUUAUUUCUGCUACUUGCAUGUCUGCUGGAGAAGGUGGAGGUGUCCCUGUGCCAUACUGGUAAUACAACAAACUGCUGUGAAAGCUCUGAUUAGAAGAUGAAGUAUGAUGCUAUAAAUAAGGUAACUUACUGACUGAAGAAAAACUAAUAAUGAGAUGAACAAUUAGCUUAUCUUUCACCUUCCUAGAUACUUUAAGAGCUAAAGAUUUAGAAUUAAUCUAGAAGAAGCUGGAGAAUUAAUUUGAAGCUGCUUAAGGCUGAUUUAUGGUACUCUUCUGGAGGAAGAGACUUACUUGAAAUUAGCUUAAUUCUCACUUUAUUAUUGUUACUAGUCAAAUUAAUUGCUGUCUUUGUCAGAGACCAUAAACCCUCAAAAAUCUGAUAAUAUUUACUUAGUUGUUUUUAUUUCUUGGAAGGUGAAGAUGUGUAAAAAAACCCAGGAACUUUGGUGGCAGUUUUUUAGAAUGAAGAAUCUUCGUAAUAUACAUUAAUCUAUAGAACAUAAUUUGAAAUCUUGUGCCUUUUGACGUUUGCACUUGUUCUACUUGUGUUUUGUCUCUUUUUUCCAGUCACGAUUUCAAAAAUGUCGGAGUAGCCACAACAGAGCAUUUAUCCUGUUCCCACCUGUGCUCUGUGAUGUGCAAAAAUAAUGUUAGUACGCAGAGAUCUUGACUUCCUCUUGAAUGCAUCUGGAUGAUUUUAUUAUGCAGUCCACUGUGCCUGUGAUCUAUCUGAGAGCAGCUGGUGAUGAGCAUUGCCAAGAUAUUGGACUGGGCUGCUGAUCAUUUUGUGUAUUUCAGAAAACUUGAAAAACAAGAUUCAUGAAACAACACUCAUACACCACAGCCUCACCACAAAGACCUUAGGGUGGCCAUGGCUGUACAAAGUAUCUUAACCAGCCAUCUUUCACCCUUUCACAAAUCUUUUCUUUUUGAAGGUAACUGUGGGUGGUCUUCUUUUGUCCAAUUUCUGUAAAUUUGGUACAUAAUUUUCUAGUUAUGCAGCUGAUUCUUGUGUUUAUGUGAAUGGCUAUUUAAAAAAAGGAAAGAUCAGAUGUUUGUUGUUUCAUUUCAACAUAAAUCAAACUUUGUACUCACAUAGCAAUUCUAGUUUAGUCCCAGGAAUAGCUUUAGUAUUGCUAAGUGUCUGGAGAGUAUUGACUACAGAGACAUGAUUUUAAGCAGGCUAUAAUAGUUUCUACAGCUGUUAACAGUUCUCAGAAGAAAGGCAGUAUUAUUCAUCGGUAUUUAAAAUGUGCAUGACUUGCAUUGCACAGAAGUCAAAUUGGGAGAAUGUCAGAAUUUUUUUUUUCUGAAAUUCUGCCAGGAAAGUCUUCAAUAACUGGAGAAAUUCUUUUCACUAGUGAAAUCAACAUGCAGCACAUUGUGUUAUUAUACUUGCUUAUAGCUCACCAUGAAAGUUGUCUUUGUAUGCGUGGAUGUACGGCUUGUACUGUUUUGUUUUUAUUUAUUCUGCAUUCUUUAUUAUAAUGUUCUUUCCUUUUUUUCCAGACCAGAAAGAUUGUUAUUGAGCCUUCUACAAAGCUGAAAUAAUGCUGUGUGUUAAAAAAAUGUUAACAAUUCUAAGAAGUUAUAAAAAUUUAUAAGUUGACUGAAUACUUUGGAAAUUUCUGCAUAUUUUAAUAUAAAUAGGUGCUGGCAGCACAAGGAGCUGAGAGCAGUGGAAGUCCAGAGGUCCAGGGCACCAGAGGAGGUCACCAGGAGCUGUCAUGCCUUAUAGGCCCUGCAAGAAAGAGAAAGGGAAAAUGAUUCAUUGUUUGAUGCAAGCCUCUGUAGCACAGGUUCAUCCCCUUUGUGCUGCAGCUCUUGGUCACUCCAUCCAGCAUGGACAAAAAGGCUGCACAGCAUUCAGAAAUACUGAUCUAGUUGACUACAUGAAUUUGUAACCAGCAGCUCAGCAGCUCCUUCAUGAACCAUCCUUCCAGGAGGGAAACAUCACAAAGAUGGAUUCCUUUAGCAAGGAAGAUAUGACAGGUUGUGAUUUGGACUGCAGUGAAGUUGCACCGGUGCUGUUCUACCCUUCAUGAGUGAGCACUGCUGGGCUGUGCAGCUGGCAAGCUCAUGCCCUUUUUUUGGAGGUUUGAGUCAACUGCUUUUAAUCUGGGAGCUUACAGAAUGGGUAAGUGCAGCCAUGUAUGUGCUGGGUAGAUGUCACGCUCAGGGAUUUGUGCAUGGAUCUCUCCUUGGCCUGAACUGGAGAAGGGCAAGAGUUUGUUCACUUUUGCUUUCUGUCACUGAGAAAAAUGAAUGCUGUUCUAUAAAGCUAUAAUUUCUUCCCAAGCAGAUGAUGACUAAAGAAGGCCUGAACUGAGUAUAGAUAAUCUUAUAUUUACUUGAAAUGAAUGUAGCUCAUAACUCUUAUUUUAGCACCAAUCUGGAACUCUACUGUGAGCAGAUUUAUGUCUGCCUCUUCCCUACCUUGGCAUUCUGGCAUUUAUGCACUCACUGAACUGGUAGUGCACAUUCUUGCAGGGAUACUUGAGAGUUUAAUGAAGCCCAAGUGUCUGAAAGGUGAGUAGGUAAAAGGUAGAUACUUUGAGAUCCAAACCUAUUCCUUUUGUGUGCUCCACAGUCUUAUUUUAGUUCUUAAAUAUAGUUUCAUUCUUCUGAUACUAAGAGUUAGCACUGAUUUCAGUAUGUGAAUCAUCAGGAGAGUUAUUAACUGUUUUGUAGUUGCAUGGUCCUUUGUUGAAAAUACCUAACUUCAACCAUGUGUUUUUAGAUGAGAUACAGGAAGCCUUUUCUGUGAUUAUAGAAGAGCAGAUUUAAUCUGGAAGUCAUUGAGAGAAACCAAUAAAGAAUUUCCUUGAUGUGAUUUUUGGAGUUACUUGCUGGAAUUGAAUUGCAUGGUUUUGGGUAUUGGACAUAAGGGCACUUGAGAGCUUAAAGAAGCUUAAAUAUAGAUGAUAAUGAAAAUGUUAUUGGUAUUUAUAGGUCAGUUGAUAAUGUCAGCAUAUUAAAGUGAUCUGAAAUAUCUCCUUGAUUUCAUGGACAGUGCAUUACUUUAUUCAGUUUAUUGUAAUAACAUGAUCUUUGAUAUACAUUUUAUUUAUUACAUAUAUAUAUUUUAGCUUUAUAAAAUUUUUUUAGUAAUCCAAUUGCCCUGAAAUGCCAUAUCAAAAAUAUGUUUAUUAGAACAAGUACAGUUACUCUCUGCCAGUGUUAUCUCUAUGAAAGCAGCCUAAGCUAAGAAAGCACAUUUGGAAAAAACGUGCCGAGCAGAGGUGGUUGGUUUUUUGUCUUUUUGUUAGACUUUCUGAGAACAUUCAUUAAUAGUAGGAGAUGUGGUCUUUCAACUAAAUUUCUUUCACCCAGAUUAUAUGCAAAUUGCAGGAUUCUUCAAGCAUAAAGUCAUAUGCCAUGAGUAUGAUAUUAGCAUUUCUUUUAAUAAAAAUAACUUUUAAAUAGGUACCUUGUUUGGUGAAUUGCCUUCCUUAUCAUUCAUAACUGUGUAACAUCUUUGUAGAACGACAGUAACUGAAAGGAAGGAAGGAAAAUACUGGACAGUGUUUCUUGGAACUGGGAUUGGCAGAGGUCUGCCGUUCUGGAAGAGAAAUACUGAUUUUGGUUCUUUAUUUUGUCCUGGCCUUUUAAUGCUGUUGUGUAUUGGAAGAAAAGAAUAAAAGGGAGCACUAGAUGAGCUGUGAGUUCCCUUUGGACCAGACUUUGGGAGUCUCUGCUCUGACAGAUCUUUUGGGGUUACUUUAUCCUGAGGGACUUUAUUCACAAAAUCUCAGAACAUAUUCUUCCAAUAAGAUUUCAUAUAGUUCGAUAAAUGUUUGGAUAAAUUUCAUACCAUCUUAUCAAAGCAGACAAUAGUUCUUUCUUGAGGAACUGAGCUUAAGUGAAAUGCUCAUUUAUGUUGGUGGAAUAAUUAAGAGUACAAGAUCCAAAUCAGUGCUUUGUUAUUCUGUUGCAGGAGUAGGCUGAAUCAAGCCUCUGUCAAGAACCACUGCUGAAAUACUGAAUUAACAUACCCAAGACCAGCACAUCAGGAGGAUAGCCUUCUACCAAAAAUAGUGUGGAGGUUUGAUCAUCUCCUUAGUGCAAGCCGUGCACCUUCACCUAGAUUCCUUCCCAGGCAGCUACAGUGGAUCUUCUCACCAAGGGAAUUUGUCCCACUGGAUUCCUUUUUUUUUUUUUUUUUUUUUUCCUGUGCAGUUGAAUGAAAAGUGUGUGUCUUUUGAAGAACAGCAACUGAAAGAAAUAUUGAUGACUGCCAGGGCAUCUACAGAAAAAGAUAAGAAAAUUACUCUACUACAACAGUGAAAACAAAGGGGCUUUGUUAACACUUUCUUGUAGGUUGUAUAUAUUAAUAGUAACAAGUAAAGUUUUGUAUUUUUUCAGAGAAACACACAAGGCCUUGAAUUGUAUUGUUUUAAUUGCAACUAACUGAAUGAAUUAAGUGGAAAAUCGCACACAGUACUUUGAUUGUCUAAUUCUCUGUAUGUGAGGCUUUGGGAACAGUUUGUUAUUAUAAAAGAACAGCACUAACCAGAAAUCAGCCAACAUGUAAUUGCUAGGCUAAGGGGCAGUUUGGGGAAAGCUGAUACUUAUUUAUACAUUAUUAAAUAAAAGCACAUAAUAUGA